GCCGAUUAUGGAUGGGAUUGCAAGUGCUGUACAGUCUGACCCUGGUGCUGGCUCCUCUAAGCAAGUGACACUGGUAGAGGGAAAUACAGUGUCCCUGUUGAAGCCAGCACACAGUCUCCUGCACAGAGGGUGAACCAAAUGAUGAAGACACUCUGUCUGUGUCUUCAGAGACAGUUGCUGAGGAUUUUUCACAACCUGCCCCAGAAACUGAAGCCUCUACCUCAAUGGGCUUCAGAAGGAAUGUGAACAAGGUAAUGCUUUAAACCCUUAAUUACAGUGGAAACAGACUCAGUCAGGGCCCUUUACAAAAGGAGUCUAGAACUAGACUGUUCACUGAAGGAGCUGGACUGUGAGCUGAGGAGGCUCCAAAUUAAAAAAAUUAAAUUGGAGAUCAAACAGCUGGAAAAAACAGAUCUCACCACAUGACCAAUAAAACAGUUUGAGACCUA
Molecule: long non-coding RNA, 449 nt
Organism: Xyrauchen texanus (razorback sucker)
Lineage: Eukaryota; Metazoa; Chordata; Actinopteri; Cypriniformes; Catostomidae
Exons: 6
Source: RefSeq, a predicted model, not a curated record